UGACUUAGUGACUAAACAAGCAAGAAAAUAGUAAACCCAGACCCUUUACUCCCCACCCCAGCCUGGGUUAAGGAAUCUCCUUUGGGCUCCUCCUAGCAUGAAUCUUAUUAUCACUCCUUAAUGCCUUAAGAGAGGAGUCAUCGAUACCUCGGAUGAAGAAACUGGGGCAGAAGAAAGUCCAGGUGACCUGCUCAAGGUCAUGUAGCUAUCUGUUGUUUGGGGCUGUUCUUUCCCUAUUCCUCCAUCCCUACUCCAGAACUUGCCUGGUACAGACUAGUUGUCCUGGACUAUGAUGAAAUAAAGGAGUGAGCCCCCGCUGAUGCCCACCCUUCCCUAUCGGGUACGACCCCGCACUGCGACACCCCCGAUCCACUCCCACUAACUUCUUCUGCCGCUCACACAGGACUUCCACCAGGGGGCGCUCUCCUCCCCACCAGUCACCGGACGUGAGCGCUGUGAGCUGGAGAAGGGAGGUGACCAGAGACCCGGGAGAGACCCCGAGACCGGAGGGAGCUGGAACCUGCGAGGGAUACCCGUACCUGCUGCCAGCUCUAGGGGAGAAUCUGUCCCCUGCCUCUUCCAGAACCUAGAGGCUGCCCACGGUCCUUGGCUCAUGGCUGCAUCAGCACUGGCCAGUAUUUGAUCCCCAGAUUUUGACAUAACCAGGAAACUUUCACUGUGAUCAAGCAUGUCAGUGAAUCGUCAUGAGACUAAAAACCUCAUGGGUCACUUUGGAAGGACACUGAGGAAUAAAUUCAUUUUGGGGGGAAGUUGAUAUAUAUAAAGGGAAGAAUCAAGCAUUUAUUUUGCUUUUUAAAAAUAAAACUGUACUUUGGGGGCUCCCCUCCUCUUAAGCUGAAGAUCUUGAUUCUUAUUUAUUUGCUUUAUCUUCAGUGUAUCAUCUAUAUCUACUUAUGCAUCAGAAUCAUAUGGCUGUAUCGUAUUUCAUACACGCUUGUACUAUGAUUCGUUUUAAGUUAAUUUUGGGUGUGGUGUGAAAUAAAACUAAGAUCAUGGCAUCCAGUUCCGUCACUUCAUGGCAAAUAGAUGGGGAAACAAUGGAAACAGUGACAGACUUUAUUUUCUUGGACUCCAAAA
This is a long non-coding RNA of Bubalus bubalis (water buffalo), 1098 nucleotides long. RefSeq lists it as uncharacterized. The record is from RefSeq and is a predicted model, not a curated record. The transcript is spliced from 3 exons. NCBI's taxonomy places the organism in Eukaryota, Metazoa, Chordata, Mammalia, Artiodactyla, Bovidae.